GAUGAAGAACGCAGCGAAAUGCGAUACUUGGUGUGAAUUGCAGAAUCCCGUGAACCAUCGAGUCUUUGAACGCAAGUUGCGCCCGAAGCCAUUAGGCCGAGGGCACGCCUGCCUGGGCGUCACACGUCGUUGCCCCCCCAUCUACUCCUUCGGGAUUGCGGGGGGCGGAUGAUGGCCUCCCGUGCGCCUCGUCGCGCGGUUGGCAUAAAUGCCAAGUCCUCGGCGACGCACGCCACGACAAUCGGUGGUUGCGAAACCUCGGUUGCCCGUCGUGUGCGGUCGUCGCGCAUCGAGGGCUCGAAAAAAUUGCCGGGCUCCGGCUCGGCUUUCAACGCGACCCCAGGUCAGGCGGGGUUACCCGCUGAAUUUAAGCAUAUCAAUAAGCGGAGA
Molecule: unclassified non-coding RNA, 390 nt
Filed under: soil metagenome
Description: partial contains 5.8S ribosomal RNA, internal transcribed spacer 2, and large subunit ribosomal RNA
Rfam family: 5.8S ribosomal RNA (bases 1-122)
Source: RNAcentral